AACGCUAGCUACAGGCUUAACACAUGCAAGUCGAGGGGAAACGACAUCGAAAGCUUGCUUUUGAUGGGCGUCGACCGGCGCACGGGUGAGUAACGCGUAUCCAACCUGCCCACCACUUGGGGAUAACCUUGCGAAAGUAAGACUAAUACCCAAUGAUAUCUCUAGAAGACAUCUGAAAGAGAUUAAAGAUUUAUCGGUGAUGGAUGGGGAUGCGUCUGAUUAGCUUGUUGGCGGGGUAACGGCCCACCAAGGCAACGAUCAGUAGGGGUUCUGAGAGGAAGGUCCCCCACAUUGGAACUGAGACACGGUCCAAACUCCUACGGGAGGCAGCAGUGAGGAAUAUUGGUCAAUGGACGAGAGUCUGAACCAGCCAAGUAGCGUGCAGGAUGACGGCCCUAUGGGUUGUAAACUGCUUUUAUAAGGGAAUAAAGUGAGCCUCGUGAGGCUUUUUGCAUGUACCUUAUGAAUAAGGACCGGCUAAUUCCGUGCCAGCAGCCGCGGUAAUACGGAGGAUCCGAGCGUUAUCCGGAUUUAUUGGGUUUAAAGGGAGCGUAGAUGGAUGUUUAAGUCAGUUGUGAAAGUUUACGGCUCAACCGUAAAAUUGCAGUUGAUACUGGAUAUCUUGAGUACAGUUGAGGUAGGCGGAAUUCGUGGUGUAGCGGUGAAAUGCUUAGAUAUCACGAAGAACUCCGAUUG
RNAcentral lists this ribosomal RNA (696 nucleotides) under uncultured bacterium. Its description in RNAcentral is "bacterial SSU rRNA". It matches the Rfam family "Bacterial small subunit ribosomal RNA", at positions 32 to 715 of the family's 1533-position model. The record is from RNAcentral.